UUAGCUGUGAACUAGUUUUCGCCUAAGUUAGUGGGAUUAUAAAUGUUGGCAAGACCUCCAUUCGGGCGCCAAGAUGAAUAGGACGAUCAUUUCUUGGUAGCGAACCUGCUUCGCCUAAGGUGAACCCUACGCCGAGUGAUCAUGGGAACCCCCAUACUCGGGGGCUUAGACGCGAACCAUCCCUCGCCUAAGUUAAAGGGGUUCCGAGUGAGAGGCAAGAUGUCACGACCGGUUUCCAAAUAAAAUACUUUAUUGGAAACCAGCCAUGUGAGUCACCGGUGUAGAAAAAUAUUUCCCACUAAUAGACUCAUCUUGAUACAGAGAACCAGUAGUACUUAAUAUUAAACGAGUAUAGUAGACGUUGCUCUACAAUUUAUUACAACAUGUCAAAGUCUCGCACAGACGGAUAUGUUAUAGUGGUAAUGGGAUAACUCCACUGCUCGUAAUAAAAGGGGCACAUCACAUCAGAGUAAUGUGAUAUGACAAGUACUACUACGUGCCAAGCGUCAGAGUGAGGCUUGAUGAUUUAUUCGUGGUGGCGGAAGCGGUGAAAUAAUACAGUGGCAGACUCCAGGAUCGCAAGACUGAUUGGGACUCCUCUAUACAUC
This 608-nucleotide long non-coding RNA is filed under the name Hordeum vulgare. RNAcentral describes it as "long non-coding RNA (HVUL_LNC003854)". The record is from RNAcentral. Lineage: Eukaryota; Viridiplantae; Streptophyta; Magnoliopsida; Poales; Poaceae.